RNAcentral lists this ribosomal RNA (253 nucleotides) under uncultured bacterium. RNAcentral describes it as "partial 16S ribosomal RNA". It matches the Rfam family "Bacterial small subunit ribosomal RNA", at positions 524 to 776 of the family's 1533-position model. The record is from RNAcentral.
UACGGAGGGAGCUAGCGUUGUUCGGAAUUACUGGGCGUAAAGCGUGCGCAGGCGGCUUUGCAAGACAGAUGUGAAAUCCCCGGGCUUAACCUGGGAACUGCAUAUGUGACUGCAUGGCUAGAGUGCGGCAGAGGGGGAUGGAAUUCCGCGUGUAGCAGUGAAAUGCGUAGAUAUGCGGAGGAACACCGAUGGCGAAGGCAAUCCCCUGGGCCUGCACUGACGCUCAUGCACGAAAGCGUGGGGAGCGAUCCGG